GAUGAACGCUGGCGGCGUGCCUAACACAUGCAAGUCGAGCGGAUAGAGGAGCUGUUUGCUUCUUUGAUGUUAGCGGCGGACGGGUGAGUAACACGUGGAUCACCUACCUAUAUGACUGGGAUAACUUCGAGAAACCGGAGCUAACACCGACUAAUAUUUUGAACCGCAAGGUCAAUAAGUAAAAGACGGUCUUGCUGUCACUUAUCGCUGGCUCCGCGCUGGAUUAGCUGGUUGGUAAGGUAACGGCUUACCAAGGCAACGAUGCAUAGCCGACCUGAUAGGGUGUACGUGCGCACUGGAACUGAGACACGGUCCUGGCUCCUACGGGAGGCCGCAGUAGGGAAUCUUCCGCGAUGGGCGAAAGCCUGACGGAGCAACGCCGCGUGAGUGAUGAAGGUCUUCGGAUCGUAAAACUCUGUUAUUGUUGAAGAACAUAUUUGUAAGUAACUGUGCACAUCGUGACGGUACCUAAUCAGAAAGCCCCGGCUAACUACGUG
Molecule: ribosomal RNA, 497 nt
Filed under: uncultured bacterium
Lineage: Bacteria
Description: partial 16S ribosomal RNA
Rfam family: Bacterial small subunit ribosomal RNA
Source: RNAcentral